GGAUGAUCAGCCACACUGGAACUGAGACACGGUCCAGACUCCUACGGGAGGCAGCAGUGGGGAAUAUUGGACAAUGGGCGCAAGCCUGAUCCAGCCACGCCGCGUGUGUGAAGAAGGCCUUCGGGUUGUAAAGCACUUUCAGUUGGGAGGAAGGGUUGUGUGUUAAUAGUACACAGCCUUGACGUUACCAACAGAAGAAGCACCGGCUAACUCUGUGCCAGCAGCCGCGGUAAUACAGAGGGUGCAAGCGUUAAUCGGAAUUACUGGGCGUAAAGCGCACGUAGGCGGUUUUUUAAGUCAGAUGUGAAAGCCCCGGGCUCAACCUGGGAAUUGCAUUUGAAACUGGAAAACUAGAGUGUGUGAGAGGGGGGUAGAAUUCCAAGUGUAGCGGUGAAAUGCGUAGAGAUUUGGNAGGAAUACCAGUGGCGAAGGCGGCCCCCUGGCACAACACUGACGCUCAGGUGCGAAAGCGUGGGGAGCAAACAGGAUUAGAUACCCUGGUAGUCCACGCCGUAAACGAUGUCUACUAGCUGUUCGUGACCUUGUGUCGUGAGUAGCGCAGCUAACGCACUAAGUAGACCGCCUGGGGANGUACGGUCGCAAGANUUANAANACUCAAANUGAAUUGACGGGGGCCCGCACAAGCGGUGGAGCAUGUGGUUUAAUUCGACGCAACGCGAAGGACCUUACCUACUCUUGACAUCCAGAGAAGACUGCAGAGAUGCGGUUGUGCCUUCGGGAACUCUGAGACAGGUGCUGCAUGGCUGUCGUCAGCUCGUGUUGUGAAAUGUUGGGUUAAGUCCCGCAACGAGCGCAACCCUUAUCCUUAGUUGCCAGCACGUAAUGGUGGGAACUCUAGGGAGACUGCCGGUGAUAAACCGGAGGAAGGUGGGGACGACGUCGAGUCAUCAUGGCCCUUACGAGUAGGGCUACACACGUGCUACAAUGGUAUGUACAGAGGGAGGCAAGCUGGCGACAGUGAGCGGGAUCUCUUAAAGCAUAUCGUAGUCCGGAUCGCAGUCUGCAACUCGACUGCGUGAAGUCGGAAUCGCUAGUAAUCGCAAAUCAGAA
RNAcentral lists this ribosomal RNA (1071 nucleotides) under uncultured Rheinheimera sp. Its description in RNAcentral is "bacterial SSU rRNA". It matches the Rfam family "Bacterial small subunit ribosomal RNA", at positions 298 to 1354 of the family's 1533-position model. The record is from RNAcentral. Lineage: Bacteria; Pseudomonadati; Pseudomonadota; Gammaproteobacteria; Chromatiales; Chromatiaceae.